Molecule: non-coding RNA, 93 nt
Organism: Bombyx mori (domestic silkworm)
Lineage: Eukaryota; Metazoa; Arthropoda; Insecta; Lepidoptera; Bombycidae
Source: RefSeq, marked provisional
CAUUUACGUUGUAGAUGUCUAUGGGCUUCAGUAACCACUUAACACCAGGUGGACUGAGCUCGUCCAUUCAUCUAAACAAUAAAUAAAAUAAUC